RNAcentral lists this long non-coding RNA (676 nucleotides) under Felis catus (domestic cat). RNAcentral's name for it is "lncRNA (ENSFCAG00000049603.1)". The record is from RNAcentral. Lineage: Eukaryota; Metazoa; Chordata; Mammalia; Carnivora; Felidae.
CAAAGACAGGGAGGGAAAGUCUGGCAUUCAUCAGACGACGAGCAGGGAAGGAAGAAAGAACUAUUUGAAGAUGAGCUGCUGAGGCUCUAGGACGCAACACGUGCCGCUCCAGUGUCUACCCCGGGGCAGGAAGGCACAGGGAGGAAUGUCUGGGCGCAGAAACCGGAGGCUGGGGCACCUCGGACGGGCCUUUGGCUCCCUCGCCUGUAAAAAGAGGACCACAACACGCUGGUGGAGCCACAGGGUGACCACAAUGAGCCGGUUUUUGGAAUUCAGGUGUUUUUGGACGUAAGGCAUCGGCACCAUCGGAAUGGGGCCCCCGAGGACAAGAUUUUGCCUCAUUCACUACCGAGUCCCAAGACAGCCGGGAACCAGGAGGCCCUCUGGGAAUUGCGCCCCGAAUGAGAGAGAACCCACGAGAACACAGCAUGGUAACCUCAAUUCAAGAGCCCUACAAUUUGUUUUUCUAUUCAUAAGCCCUAGGUAAGUUAAUCAGCGUUCUCUAAUAGCUUCAUUUGUAACUAUUUUUCCCAGGGCCUACCUAGGGCUCAAGAAAAACUAGCUGCAGCCCCCCAUCAGCCCUCACCUUGACCAGGACAUCCAAGCUGCUCUGAGCCGGUGCUAGAUGAGCCGAUGGGAGGAAACUUCUCGUGGAAUCCAACAUGGAGUGGCCUGA